Molecule: long non-coding RNA, 3421 nt
Filed under: Gallus gallus (chicken)
Lineage: Eukaryota; Metazoa; Chordata; Aves; Galliformes; Phasianidae
Description: lncRNA (ENSGALG00010016594.1)
Source: RNAcentral
AGGAAAAACACAUAUUAUCUUAGACUGCAAUCUAGUGUGAGGAUGAGAUGGUAUUUUAAUAGGGCUGCAUUUAUCAACUGUAACAAGGGAGGGAAUGUGCUCCAACCCAGCGCGCCUUGUGGGCAAUGCAAGCAAGAGUCAGCGAGUGCGACCGCCGGAGGAGUGCGGCGAUGGGAGGAAGGCAGACGGACAGACAGCCUGCUGGGAACGAGGGCGGUCUGCAGGUGAUCUCGCAGGGGAGGGUGCGGCACCCACUGCCCAUCUUAGCGGGAUCCCAUCCCCUCGCUCCACCAUCCUCAAUGCUCCUGGAAACCUGAAUUUCUGACUUGACUUGCGAUGGGAUUUGCAUGUCUAGCCAGUGACACUACUAUUUUCAGAAGUAAUUACAUUUUUAAUUACGCUUUUUAAUAGCUGGUAGCUGCUGCUUUGCAGUUUUGUUCCUGUCCCUCUUGGACGCACCUUGGAGCAACACCAGGAGCCUCCACUUCCCUUCCAGUGAGAUGUGAGAGUGUGAACACACAGCGAGAAAGGGGAGAACGCGUGUGUCAAUGCGUGCAACUGAUCUCGCAGCCACAUAUCACAGCUGGAGACUGAAACCAGAGCUGGGCAGUGCAUCUCAGAGCCACGGGAACAGCCCCUCAGCAUUUCCCAACACAAGUCUGGAGAAAGAAUGAGGAAGACAGAAGGGCCCAGAUCUGCAGCGUGCAGACAGAGCUGGUCCUAGGAAAAGCACACCAGCUUUCCUCUAAAUCAGGCGUUUGGGCUGAGCGCUUGUGAUUGUAGGAGAAAGGGAAAGUGAUCAUAUAAAAGCAGCCACAGGAGAGGUGAAAUAAACUCUUCAAAGAGGGCUCGUGCUGGUGCAGAUUCUGCAUUGAAAAUCCAGAGUCAGAGAAUUCUCUGUGACGUUGGGCAAGGCGCUGCAUCUCUUACCAGCUCAGACUGCCAGUUGGUCACCGAGACACACCAACCUCCGCACUGCUCCUGUCCAUGGAAACAGACAGAGGUGUGGAAGAAUGAGGGUAUAUCUUUUCUAGAGAUCCAAAAGAAGGAGAGCUCUAAAUACAACAGAAAGGAAUUAGAAGGCAGCUCAUUUUGAUCCAGGCAGAUCCUUCAACCUUUUGAAAUUUAAAGGAUCCCUGACUUUCCUGAAGCAGUCUCAAGACUCCCAUGCACCCAUGUGCAGAGAAAAUAAAAGUCCCUCUGCGCCGCCUGCUCAUUAAUUUGCUUUUCUUUUCUCAUCAUUUGUUUGCUAGCUUGUCUGCUUGGGAAGAUGGCAUGGGUUUCUAUGAUUUUCCAGUCAUUGCCUAACCCACCUGUUGUAGGGCCCAGCAGCGCUUAAUGGCACUGAGCACCACGGAGCUGCAAUGCCCAUAAGCAUGUCUGUUCCCAGUCCCUUUGGAGUCACUCCCUCACAGACACCCUUUCAUCAGCAGAUUUCAGGUGUGCAGCAAACCCUGGGCGCAUGGAGCACAGCAUACUGGAGCACUGCUGGCUGCACACCCCAGCACGCACCGGUGCGUGUCCCUGUCCAGCCAGCUACAAACAGCAGCACAGAGUGGCUGUGAUUUGGCAUCUCAUUACCACAAUGACUUCGGGAGUUCAGAUGCAAAUCACUUGGCAGUAACUUUCUCAUAUUGAAGAGAGGGAGAAAGAGGGAGAAGGAAACAGACAGCCAUCCAGGUACGCUGGCACACUUGGAGGUGGGCUGGGCCUCCCUAAUUGGAGCUGGCACAUCAGUAACUUAGUGGGCUCUAGAUGAGGGUGUACGGAAGAGCACAGAAAGCAGAAGCUGUGCUUCUGCUCAGCGAGCACAGAAAGGCUGCAUUUGGUGCGGUGUGCUGGGGAACGUAACCCUCCCCCUAAUUGCUUCAGAUGGGGACUUUCAAAAUGUGCAUGCCAUGGGUAAUUGUUUUAGGUCUCAGCUGCAACGAUGACAAACGCCGGCUUUGCUUAGCAUGCCGUUUGCAUACUGCUAAAAUACAUAUGGCUGAUCAGGUUUUAGGCCCUGUAAUCAUUCUUUCUAAAGUGCAAUGCUAUUUUCAGCUUUAUCUUCAUUUUAUUCUCAUUGAAAAUAAUUGCUGUGAUUUAGAGACUGUCUAAUGCCCUGUCGUUAUCUCCAGAUCUCUGGUAGUGUAAGCCUGCUGGCAUCCAGUAGCGAACCCAAAAGCUGUGCGGAUUUUCAAGUUGCAGUGUGUUAAUCUUGUUCAGCAUGUGGAACCGUCUCUCUAACUGAGAAGAUGAAUGCGGAUCAGCUUUAGGUGUACUUCUGUGUUUGCAUUUGAAGUUCAGUAAAUGCGAGGAAAAGAAAAAUAAAGAAAUAAAACAACAAAACAAACCAAAAACCAAAACAACAACAAAAAAUACCACUGCAGGAACAAAAAGAAACUGAGGCAAGUGUUGGCUUUGAAGUCGAUAACCUGAUAUGUCCUGCCUGAGUAUGCUCUGUCCAUAAAAACUGAAGAUAAAUAUUAUUCAGAUCACCUUGCAGAGGAAGAAAUUUGCAUGUAGGAAGACUUGAAGUACAAGGAUGGUGAAAUCUUAACUUUGUCUAAUCCAUUAGCCAACCUUUGGAUGGCUUCGUUAUGAGUAAGACAGCACUGCUGGAUGGUUUGUGCCUUAACCUGUUGUACUGACACAGGAGACGGAAACCAAGAGGCUGAGAUUGACUCAGCUUUGUUUGAAAAGCAACAGAUAGUUGUUUUCUGACCAGCCAGUCAGCAAGAAAAGCAAGAAGGAAACGCAUUUUACAACAAAAUCCAUACUUUGUGUCUAUCGCUGCUUCAUUUGUUCCCUGUACCCAUUAAAUAGCCCCUUCCUCUGCUCUUGUUUCUUUCCUUCACUGAUGGAUACAAGAAAGAAAACACUAACUUUUCCCAAAGGAAGUUUCUGAGGCCCCUGCACCAGAAUGCUGGCACCAUGCGGUGCCUCACACCCCCUAUUUCAACACCCCCAGAGGUUUUCCAGCUUUCUAACCCGGCUUAGAAAGAAAUGAUGCAAUCCUUGGAAAGUUACUAUUGAUUUGAGCCUCAUGAAGUUGGUGGCCAAGCGUCAUCGGGUCAGAUGAGAUCAGGUCUUCCCCAGACACCCAUAUGACUGUAGACACAGCUCCAUCUCCUACUGCAACUUGGAAUUCUUUUAUGGGUAAAGAUGCAGAGUUUCACAGAGAUGCUAGGAAAAAUCUAGAAAAAUCUCGAUUUCUUGUGAGCUCAUCCGUUUGUACGUGACUGAGAAGUUCUGAGCCCACCUGCGAUCAGGCAGUGGGUCACUCAGCUGCACGGCAUGAAGACUGAGCAGGUUCAUCACAGCCCUCAGCCUGCCCUCGAGCCCAGCAGCCAGGACUGCUUUAUUCUCAGUGUAAUAAAACCAGAUUCGCACUGAAAGAGAGAGAUGAAGUUUCCCUUGGAGACCAGGCGGAGACCAG